AUUGAACGCUGGCGGAAUGCUUUACACAUGCAAGUCGAGCGGCAGCGCGGGGGCAACCUUGGCGGCGAGCGGCGAACGGGUGAGUAACAUAUCGGAACGUACCCCGUCGUGGGGGAUAACACAGCGAAAGCUGUGCUAAUACCGCAUACGACCUGAGGGUGAAAGCGGGGGACCGUAAGGCCUCGCGCGAUGGGAGCGGCCGAUAUCGGAUUAGCUUGUUGGUGAGGUAAAGGCUCACCAAGGCGACGAUCCGUAGCUGGUCUGAGAGGACGACCAGCCACACUGGAACUGAGACACGGUCCAGACUCCUACGGGAGGCAGCAGUGGGGAAUUUUGGACAAUGGGGGCAACCCUGAUCCAGCCAUUCCGCGUGAGUGAAGAAGGCCUUCGGGUUGUAAAGCUCUUUCAGCAGGAACGAAACGGUGGCUAAUAACACUAGCUACUAAUGACGGUACCUGAAGAAGAAGCACCGGCUAACUACGUGCCAGCAGCCGCGGUAAUACGCAGGGUGCGAGCGUUAAUCGGAAUUACUGGGCGUAAAGCGUGCGCAGGCGGUUCCAUAAGACAGAUGUGAAAUCCCCGGGCUUAACCUGGGAACUGCGUUUGUG
Molecule: ribosomal RNA, 608 nt
Filed under: uncultured bacterium
Lineage: Bacteria
Description: bacterial SSU rRNA
Rfam family: Bacterial small subunit ribosomal RNA
Source: RNAcentral